This 266-nucleotide ribosomal RNA is filed under the name uncultured Glomus. Its description in RNAcentral is "partial large subunit ribosomal RNA". It matches the Rfam family "Eukaryotic large subunit ribosomal RNA", at positions 25 to 287 of the family's 3401-position model. Lineage: Eukaryota; Fungi; Glomeromycota; Glomeromycetes; Glomerales; Glomeraceae. The record is from RNAcentral.
CCGCUGAACUUAAGCAUAUCAAUAAGCGGAGGAAAAGAAAAUAACAAUGAUUCCCCUAGUAACUGCGAGUGAAGAGGGACAAGCUCAAAUUUUAAAUCCAUCGGGUUUUACCCGAUCGAGUUGUAAUUUGAAGAGGCGUUUUCUGUGUUUCUGAUCAGUCCAAGUCCUUUGGGAUAAGGCAUCAUGGAGGGUGAGAAUCCCGUCCGGUUGAUCAGAUUCGCUUUACGAUACGCUUUCUAAGAGUCAAGUUGUUUGGGAAUGCAGCU